CUCUCUCGAGAAGAGAAAAAUGGCCUCCAUGGUUUCUCUCUCGCUCUACAAACCGGAACAACAAUUGAAAUCGAACUCGUGCCGCAAGUUUAAUCUGACUCCGCUGCAUCUACGGCGUUUCUCUUGUUGUUCAACUCGCGAGAUUUCUCUCAAAUCGCCUUACGGAGUGGCUCUUCCUGUUACCUGUAAGCAUCGACGAAGUGUUGAGAUUUUUACUCGACGUGGAGCGACUUUCCUGCUGAGGAAAAGGAAGAGCUUUGGGGAGUGGGUUGAAGCCGAGUGCUUUCAAUUGAGUAACUCCGGAUUUGACCAUCUUACGAUCACUGAUGCUCGGAAUGGGGAUGACUUUUGACUCUCGAUUAUCUUCGCUGGCUUUUCCUUGCAGUACUCAGCUAGCUUUGGUCUUGCGACGUUUUUUUUAUGCGAGUAAAAGGCAAGUAAUGACGACACGGGUUGUUACUUUAUGGUGCAGAGCACCAGAGCUUCUCCACGGUGCUGUUGAGUAUGGUAUCGGCAUUGACUUAUGGAGCGAUGGUUGCAUUUAGCAGAGUUAUUAUCUGGUAGACCGAUCAUGCCAGGUCGUAAUGAGGUUGAUCAGUUGCAUAGGAUAUACAAGUUAUGUGGAUCACCUUAUGCAGAGUAUUGGAAAAAGAUUAGGCUUCCUUCUAAUCUUAAGCAUGCUAAUCAGAUGGCUAAACCACAGUUUAAAAGAAAAGUAAGAGAGGAUUACCAAUAUUUCUCUCCUGAGGCGCUUUCUCUUGAUGAGUGAUACAAGUUUUGUUUCAGCUUCCUGUAUCAAACAAUGGAUCAAAGUUGUUCCAAGCAAUCAUGCAGGAUCACAGUCCGUUUUAUCUCGUGAUUCCAUGAACUUUUUACUGAAACCUUCAAUGCAGAGCCAGUAAAGAUUUUGCAGAGACGAUGCUCUGUUUUGUGGCAUGAGAACCAUUACAUGGAAUCUAACCCAAACUUUGUGUCAUUUUCUUUUUCCCUAGUCAUCUGUCAGCAUUUGUUCCCAAUCUGCCUGAAUCUGUAGAAAGUCUAAAAGUUUAAAACAUGGAGAUUGAUAAAAAGACAACAAACUUUACUUCUAUUAUUUUAUUAUUUGGUCUCCAUUACAAACCAUUAUUGAAUGAUGUAAGUGCAUGUAGAUGUCAU
Brassica oleracea var. oleracea is the source of this 1155-nucleotide long non-coding RNA. RefSeq lists it as uncharacterized. The transcript has 4 exons. The record is from RefSeq and is a predicted model, not a curated record. NCBI's taxonomy places the organism in Eukaryota, Viridiplantae, Streptophyta, Magnoliopsida, Brassicales, Brassicaceae.